AUUGAACGCUGGCGGCAUGCUUUACACAUGCAAGUCGAACGGUAACAGGUCAAGCUGACGAGUGGCGAACGGGUGAGUAAUGCAUCGGAGCGUGCCCGAUCGUGGUGGAUAACGCAGCGAAAGCUGCGCUAAUACCGCAUACGAUCUGAGGAUGAAAGCGGGGGACCGUAAGGCCUCGCGCGAUCGGAGCGGCCGAUGUCAGAUUAGGUAGUUGGUGGGGUAAAGGCCCACCAAGCCGACGAUCUGUAGCUGGUCUGAGAGGACGACCAGCCACACUGGGACUGGGACACGGCCCAGACUCCUACGGGAGGCAGCAGUGGGGAAUUUUGGACAAUGGGCGAAAGCCUGAUCCAGCAAUGCCGCGUGCAGGAAGAAGGCCUUCGGGUUGUAAACUGCUUUUGUACGGAGCGAAAAGGUCCUUUCUAAUACAAGGGGCUUAUGACGGUACCGUAAGAAUAAGCACCGGCUAACUACGUGCCAGCCGCCGCCGUAA
This 493-nucleotide ribosomal RNA is filed under the name uncultured bacterium. Its description in RNAcentral is "partial 16S ribosomal RNA". It matches the Rfam family "Bacterial small subunit ribosomal RNA", at positions 30 to 523 of the family's 1533-position model. The record is from RNAcentral.